RNAcentral lists this long non-coding RNA (644 nucleotides) under Ananas comosus (pineapple). RNAcentral's name for it is "long non-coding RNA (ACOM_LNC000684)". The record is from RNAcentral. Lineage: Eukaryota; Viridiplantae; Streptophyta; Magnoliopsida; Poales; Bromeliaceae.
UAUUUUUAUAGCUAUUCUUUUACUUUUCAAUCAGGGGCAAUUGCUUAUAUACUCUUGAAAAGUUUCCGACUUCUGAUUUACCCUUCUUAGAAGGCUAAUAUUGAAAAUAUUCUUUUUACGUUUCAACUUAUUUCUAAUAUAUCCCUAAAGUUAAAAUCUGUUAAUGAACUCUGUUAUCUCAAUAAAAUUACUAUUUUGCAUUUUCAAAUAUACACUUCUACCAUCACCGACUUUUUUUAUUUANAGUUAAAAUCUGUUAAUGAACUCUGUUAUCUCAAUAAAAUUACUAUUUUGCAUUUUCAAAUAUACACUUCUACCAUCACCGACUUUUUUUAUUUACCCUUAAGUUAGGAGUACAAAAAGUAUUUUGGUUUUUGGCCUUUUUAAAUAUACCCUUCUACCAUCACCAACAUUUCUUAUUUGCCCUUAAGUUAAGGGCAAAAGUGGCAUUUUAAUUUUUUUUUAAACUGUGGUAGAUAUUUAACUCACGUUUAAUUCAAGUUAACUUAACGGGUGGUAACUACAGGGAUAUUUUGGAAUAACAGAGGAACAUAUGAGGAGUAUAUUGGAAAGAAAAAAAAAAUAGGGGUAAAUGAGAUAUUUCCGAAGUUUUAAGGGGUAUAUAAGCAAUUAUCCCUUUCAAU